RNAcentral lists this long non-coding RNA (339 nucleotides) under Theobroma cacao (cacao). RNAcentral's name for it is "long non-coding RNA (TCAC_LNC000595)". The record is from RNAcentral. Lineage: Eukaryota; Viridiplantae; Streptophyta; Magnoliopsida; Malvales; Malvaceae.
UUUUCUUGGGUGCCAUUGGAUGAGGUGCGCAAGUAAAAUUCCUGAUGUUUCUAAAGAUAACAAUUUUUUAUUUGCAAUUUGAGAGAUGAAAACCAAUGAGUUUCCAGAGCCAGCGAUUUCCCCUUUUCUUUAAUUCUCAAUGUCUGCAGGCUGCGGCUUUUGGCUUUUGAGAAUGUUUGUACUCCUUAAUUUGCAACUAGCUAGUUUCUUUGCACUAUUUUUAAUAAACUGUGAAUAUUUUACUUUGGGUACUGCAUUCCCUUGACAUUCUCGUUCAACGUUAUGAAGGCAACCAGGUAGAAAUGCAGCAACAUCAAUUGAAUCCCAUCAAGGAAUUAG